GAGUUUGAUCCUGGCUCAGGAUGAACGCUGGCGGCGUGCUUAACACAUGCAAGUCGAGCGAAAAUAAUUGAGAGCUUGCUUUUGAUUAUUUUAGCGGCGGACGGGUGAGUAACGUGUGGGUAACCUGCCUUUUACUGUGGAAUAAUCGUUGGAAACGACGACUAAUACCGCAUACGGUUCUUGGAAGGCAUCUUCUAAGAAAGAAAGGAUUUAUUCGGUAAAAGAUGGGCCCGCAUCUGAUUAGCUAGUUGGUGAGAUAAUAGCCCACCAAGGCAACGAUCAGUAGCCGACCUGAGAGGGUGACCGGCCACAUUGGGACUGAGACACGGCCCAAACUCCUACGGGAGGCAGCAGUGGGGAAUAUUGCACAAUGGGCGAAAGCCUGAUGCAGCAACGCCGCGUGAAGGAAGACGGUUUUCGGAUUGUAAACUUCUAUCAAUAGGGAAGAAAGAAAUGACGGUACCUAAAUAAGAAGCCCCGGCUAACUACGUGCCAGCAGCCGCGGUAAUACGUAGGGGGCAAGCGUUAUCCGGAAUUACUGGGUGUAAAGGGAGAGUAGGCGGCAAGGUAAGCGAUAUGUGAAAGCCUUAGGCUUAACCAAAGGAUUGCAUAACGAACUAUCUAGCUAGAGUACAGGAGAGGAAAGCGGAAUUCCUAGUGUAGCGGUGAAAUGCGUAGAUAUUAGGAAGAACACCAGUGGCGAAGGCGGCUUUCUGGACUGAAACUGACGCUGAGGCUCGAAAGCGUGGGGAGCGAACAGGAUUAGAUACCCUGGUAGUCCACGCUGUAAACGAUGAGUGCUAGGUGUCGGGGAGGAAUUCCCGGUGCCGGAGCAAACGCAAUAAGCACUCCACCUGGGGAGUACGACCGCAAGGUUGAAACUCAAAGGAAUUGACGG
This 898-nucleotide ribosomal RNA is filed under the name uncultured bacterium. RNAcentral describes it as "bacterial SSU rRNA". It matches the Rfam family "Bacterial small subunit ribosomal RNA", at positions 9 to 916 of the family's 1533-position model. The record is from RNAcentral.